RNAcentral lists this ribosomal RNA (221 nucleotides) under uncultured bacterium. RNAcentral's name for it is "partial 16S ribosomal RNA". It matches the Rfam family "Bacterial small subunit ribosomal RNA", at positions 524 to 742 of the family's 1533-position model. The record is from RNAcentral.
UACGAGGGGGGCGAGCGUUGUUCGGAAUUAUUGGGCGUAAAGGGUGCGUAGGCGGUUCCGCAAGUCCUGUGUGAAAUCUUCGGGCUCAACUCGAAGUCUGCACGGGAAACUGCGGGGCUUGAGUGUGGGAGAGGUGAGUGGAAUUCCCGGUGUAGCGGUGAAAUGGCGUAGAGUAUCGGGAGGAACACCUGUGGCGAAGGCGGGUCUCUGGGCCGUAACUG